GUGAACUGCUGGCAGGGAGCGGCGGUAAGACGUGGGUGUGGGUCGUUAAACGGAAGUCCGGGUCGUCAAGGGUGAGCAUGCGGCUAGGCAAGACAGAUGUGAAAUCCCAGGGCUCAACCUGGGAACUGCAUUUGGGACUGCAUGGCUAGAGUGCGUCAGAGGGAGGUGGAAUUCCGCGUGUAGCAGUGAAAUGCGUAGAGAUGCGGAGGAACACCGAUGGCGAAGGCAGCCUCCUGGGAUGACACUGACGCUCAUGCACGAAAGCGUGGGGAGCAAACAGGAUUAGAUACCCGAGUAGUC
Molecule: ribosomal RNA, 300 nt
Filed under: uncultured Dinoroseobacter sp.
Lineage: Bacteria; Pseudomonadati; Pseudomonadota; Alphaproteobacteria; Rhodobacterales; Roseobacteraceae
Description: bacterial SSU rRNA
Rfam family: Bacterial small subunit ribosomal RNA
Source: RNAcentral